This 465-nucleotide ribosomal RNA is filed under the name uncultured bacterium. Its description in RNAcentral is "partial 16S ribosomal RNA". It matches the Rfam family "Bacterial small subunit ribosomal RNA", at positions 338 to 795 of the family's 1533-position model. The record is from RNAcentral.
CCUACGGGGGGCAGCAGUAGGGAAUCUUCCACAAUGGGCGAAAGCCUGAUGGAGCAACGCCGCGUGGGUGAAGAAGGUCUUCGGAUCGUAAAACCCUGUUGUUAGAGAAGAAAGUGCGUGAGAGUAACUGUUCACGUUUCGACGGUAUCUAACCAGAAAGCCACGGCUAACUACGUGCCAGCAGCCGCGGUAAUACGUAGGUGGCAAGCGUUAUCCGUAUUUAUUUGGCGUAAAGGGAACGCAGGCGGUCUUUUAAGUCUGAUGUGAAAGCCUUCGGCUUAACCGGAGUAGUGCAUUGGAAACUGGGAGACUUGAGUGCAGAAGAGGAGAGUGGAACUCCAUGUGUAGCGGUGAAAUGCGUAGAUAUAUGGAAGAACACCAGUGGCGAAAGCGGCUCUCUGGUCUGUAACUGACGCUGAGGUUCGAAAGCGUGGGUAGCAAACAGGAUUAGAUACCCUAGUAGUC